ACAAGCGGUGGAGCAUGUGGUUUAAUUCGAUGCAACGCGAAGAACCUUACCUGGUCUUGACAUCCACAGAACUUUCCAGAGAUGGAUUGGUGCCUUCGGGAACUGUGAGACAGGUGCUGCAUGGCUGUCGUCAGCUCGUGUUGUGAAAUGUUGGGUUAAGUCCCGCAACGAGCGCAACCCUUAUCCUUUGUUGCCAGCGGUCCGGCCGGGAACUCAAAGGAGACUGCCAGUGAUAAACUGGAGGAAGGUGGGGAUGACGUCAAGUCAUCAUGGCCCUUACGACCAGGGCUACACACGUGCUACAAUGGCGCAUACAAAGAGAAGCGACCUCGCGAGAGCAAGCGGACCUCAUAAAGUGCGUCGUAGUCCGGAUUGGAGUCUGCAACUCGACUCCAUGAAGUCGGAAUCGCUAGUAAUCGUGGAUCAGAAUGCCACGGUGAAUACGUUCCCGGGCCUUGUACACACCGCCCGUCACACCAUGGGAGUGGGUUGCAAAAGAAGUAGGUAGCUUAACCUUCGGGAGGGCGCUUACCACUUUGUGAUUCAUGACUGGGGUGAAGUCGUAACAAGGUAACCGUAGGGGAACC
RNAcentral lists this ribosomal RNA (587 nucleotides) under uncultured bacterium. RNAcentral's name for it is "bacterial SSU rRNA". It matches the Rfam family "Bacterial small subunit ribosomal RNA", at positions 925 to 1512 of the family's 1533-position model. The record is from RNAcentral.